CGGGUGAGUAACGCGUGGAUAACCUGCCUUACACUGGGGGAUAACACUUAGAAAUAGGUGCUAAUACCGCAUAAGCGCACAGAGCCGCAUGGCUCAGUGUGAAAAACUCCGGUGGUGUAAGAUGGAUCCGCGUCUGAUUAGCUGGUUGGCGGGGUAGAAGCCCACCAAGGCGACGAUCAGUAGCCGGCCUGAGAGGGUGAACGGCCACAUUGGGACUGAGACACGGCCCAAACUCCUACGGGAGGCAGCAG
RNAcentral lists this ribosomal RNA (251 nucleotides) under uncultured bacterium. Its description in RNAcentral is "partial 16S ribosomal RNA". It matches the Rfam family "Bacterial small subunit ribosomal RNA", at positions 103 to 354 of the family's 1533-position model. The record is from RNAcentral.